RNAcentral lists this transfer RNA (68 nucleotides) under Salina celebensis. RNAcentral describes it as "tRNA-Ser". The record is from RNAcentral. Lineage: Eukaryota; Metazoa; Arthropoda; Collembola; Entomobryomorpha; Paronellidae.
GAACUAGGGGGUUUCGGAAAUAAGCUGCUAACUUAAUUUUUAAGUGGUUAAACUCCAUUUAUAGUUUU